CCCUACGGGGUGCAGCAGGGGGAGAAUGUCUAUUGCAUCGACCAGCCCGCGUCACACGAGCGGCUACUCUACGACGCACUGAUGGCGCGAACCGCCGCAAUCGUUUCCCAGUCUUUGUUUUUGCCGGAAGACGUGCGCCUGCUUCCUACGGAAUCGGAUGUGUUCUUUAUCAAUAAAGACGAGUUGGAGCGGUUCGGGUUUGUAUUUUCGGAUGCAAGCGAGACGAGCGUGACGCUGCUUGCUGUCCCGCAGAUCAACGGAACCGCGCUCAAGGCUGCGUUUCUGCAUGAUGUGCUGGAGUUUUUAUCCGGCUCCGAAGAAGCGCGCCCAAACGACUGGUUCCGAGACGCGAUUGCGCAAUCCGCUUGCAAACACGCGAUCAAGGCGGGGAGC
Molecule: ribosomal RNA, 393 nt
Filed under: uncultured prokaryote
Description: partial 16S ribosomal RNA
Source: RNAcentral